This 614-nucleotide ribosomal RNA is filed under the name uncultured bacterium. RNAcentral describes it as "bacterial SSU rRNA". It matches the Rfam family "Bacterial small subunit ribosomal RNA", at positions 338 to 946 of the family's 1533-position model. The record is from RNAcentral.
CCUACGGGAGGCAGCAGUGGGGAAUUUUGGACAAUGGGCGCAAGCCUGAUCCAGCAAUGCCGCGUGAGUGAAGAAGGCCUUCGGGUUGUAAAGCUCUUUUGUCAGGGAAGAAACGGGUCUUUCUAAUACAGAGGUCUAAUGACGGUACCUGAAGAAUAAGCACCGGCUAACUACGUGCCAGCAGCCGCGGUAAUACGUAGGGUGCAAGCGUUAAUCGGAAUUACUGGGCGUAAAGCGUGCGCAGGCGGUUUUGUAAGUUUUGUCGUGAAAUCCCCGGGCUCAACCUGGGAAUGGCGAUGAAGACUGCAAGGCUAGAGUUUGGCAGAGGGGGGUAGAAUUCCACGGUGUAGCAGUGAAAUGCGUAGAUAUGUGGAGGAACACCGAUGGCGAAGGCAGCCCCCUGGGUCAAACUGACGCUCAUGCACGAAGCGUGGGGAGCAAACAGGAUUAGAUACCCUGGUAGUCCACGCCCUAAACGAUGUCUACUAGUUGUCGGGUCUUAAUUGACUUGGUAACGCAGCUAACGCGUGAGUAGACCGCCUGGGGAGUACGGUCGCAAGAUUAAAACNCAAAUGAAUUGACGGCUGAGAGNGCGAGCGACGACGAGGGAGGAG